AUUGAACGCUGGCGGCAUGCCUUACACAUGCAAGUCGAACGGUAACGCGGGGCAACCUGGCGACGAGUGGCGAACGGGUGAGUAAUAUAUCGGAACGUGCCCAGUAGUGGGGGAUAGCCCGGUGAAAGCCGGAUUAAUACCGCAUACGACCUACGGGUGAAAGGGGGGGAUCGCAAGACCUCUCGCUAUUGGAGCGGCCGAUAUCAGAUUAGGUAGUUGGUGGGGUAAAAGCCCACCAAGCCAACGAUCUGUAGCUGGUCUGAGAGGACGACCAGCCACACUGGGACUGAGACACGGCCCAGACUCCUACGGGAGGCAGCAGUGGGGAAUUUUGGACAAUGGGCGAAAGCCUGAUCCAGCCAUGCCGCGUGCGCGAAGAAGGCCUUCGGGUUGUAAACCGCUUUUGUCAGGGAAGAAAUCCUUUGAGCUAAUACCUCGGGGGGAUGACGGUACCUGAAGAAUAAGCACCGGCUAACUACGUGCCAGCAGCCGCGGUAA
Molecule: ribosomal RNA, 498 nt
Filed under: uncultured bacterium
Lineage: Bacteria
Description: partial 16S ribosomal RNA
Rfam family: Bacterial small subunit ribosomal RNA
Source: RNAcentral